GACGAACGCUGGCGGCGUGCCUAAUACAUGCAAGUUGAGCGCUGAAGGUUGGUACUUGUACCGACUGGAUGAGCAGCGAACGGGUGAGUAACGCGUGGGGAAUCUGCCUUUGAGCGGGGGACAACAUUUGGAAACGAAUGCUAAUACCGCAUAAAAACUUUAAACACAAGUUUUAAGUUUGAAAGAUGCAAUUGCAUCACUCAAAGAUGAUCCCGCGUUGUAUUAGCUAGUUGGUGAGGUAAAGGCUCACCAAGGCGAUGAUACAUAGCCGACCUGAGAGGGUGAUCGGCCACAUUGGGACUGAGACACGGCCCAAACUCCUACGGGAGGAAGCAGUAGGGAAUCUUCGGCAAUGGACGAAAGUCUGACCGAGCAACGCCGCGUGAGUGAAGAAGGUUUUCGGAUCGUAAAACUCUGUUGGUAGAGAAGAACGUUGGUGAGAGUGGAAAGCUCAUCAAGUGACGGUAACUACACAGAAAGGGACGGCUAACUACGUG
This 497-nucleotide ribosomal RNA is filed under the name uncultured bacterium. RNAcentral's name for it is "partial 16S ribosomal RNA". It matches the Rfam family "Bacterial small subunit ribosomal RNA", at positions 28 to 507 of the family's 1533-position model. The record is from RNAcentral.